This 178-nucleotide non-coding RNA is filed under the name Oceanospirillaceae bacterium. RNAcentral's name for it is "6S RNA". It matches the Rfam family "6S / SsrS RNA". Rfam says of the family: E. coli 6S RNA was the first non coding RNA to be sequenced, but its function was unknown until recently. It consists of 184 nucleotides that fold into an extended hairpin structure with a large single-stranded internal bulge. The record is from RNAcentral. RNAcentral also lists the same sequence under 2 other names. Lineage: Bacteria; Pseudomonadati; Pseudomonadota; Gammaproteobacteria; Oceanospirillales; Oceanospirillaceae.
UGCUCCCUGGAGUGCCAGUCGGCAAAGACCUCGAGCCGAUGCGUAUUACCCAGGCAGGUUUCACUCGCUGUUGUGAGCAUGUCCGCACGUACGGAAAGCCUGAUUCAGUGAUCAGACCCGCCACCUUGAACCAGAGGGUUCAAGGGCUUUGACCGACAAUUGGCACUGCAGUGGGCUU